AUACCGGCUGCUCGAGUGAUGGCCACUAUUACUGGGUUUAAAGCGUCCGUAGCUUGACUGUUAGGUCUCUUGGGAAAUCUUUUGGCUUAACCAAAAGGCGUCUAAGAGAUACCGGCAUUCUUGGAACUGGGAGAGGUAAGCCGUACUUCGGGGGUAGGAGUGAAAUCUUGUAAUCCUCGAGGGACGACCUAUGGCGAAGGCAGCUUACCAGAACAGCUUCGACAGUGAGGGACGAAAGCUGGGGGAGCAAACGGGAUUAGAUACCCCGGUAGUCCCAGCCGUAAACAAUGUGCGUUAGGUGUGUCGGUUACCACGCGUAACUGAUGCGCCGAAGAGAAGUCGUGAAACGCACCACCUGGGAAGUACGGUCGCAAGGCUGAAACUUAAAUGAAUUGGCGGGG
This 401-nucleotide ribosomal RNA is filed under the name uncultured bacterium. RNAcentral describes it as "partial 16S ribosomal RNA". It matches the Rfam family "Archaeal small subunit ribosomal RNA", at positions 473 to 873 of the family's 1478-position model. The record is from RNAcentral.